GUUUGAUCCUGGCUCAGAUUGAACGCUGGCGGCAGGCUUAACACAUGCAAGUCGAGCGGAAACGAUGAUAGCUUGCUAUCAGGCGUCGAGCGGCGGACGGGUGAGUAAUACUUAGGAAUCUACCUAGUAGUGGGGGAUAGCACGGGGAAACUCGUAUUAAUACCGCAUACGACCUACGGGAGAAAGGGGGCAGUUUACUGCUCUCGCUAUUAGAUGAGCCUAAGUCGGAUUAGCUAGAUGGUGGGGUAAAGGCCUACCAUGGCGACGAUCUGUAGCUGGUCUGAGAGGAUGAUCAGCCACACCGGGACUGAGACACGGCCCGGACUCCUACGGGAGGCAGCAGUGGGGAAUAUUGGACAAUGGGGGAAACCCUGAUCCAGCCAUGCCGCGUGUGUGAAGAAGGCCUUUUGGUUGUAAAGCACUUUAAGCAGUGAAGAAGACUCCGUGGUUAAUACCCACGGACGAUGACAUUAGCUGCAGAAUAAGCACCGGCUAACUCUGUGCCAGCAGCCGCGGUAAUACAGAGGGUGCAAGCGUUAAUCGGAAUUACUGGGCGUAAAGGGAGCGUAGGUGGCUCGAUAAGUCAGAUGUGAAAUCCCCGGGCUCAACCUGGGAACUGCAUCUGAUACUGUUGAGCUAGAGUAUGUGAGAGGAAGGUAGAAUUCCAGGUGUAGCGGUGAAAUGCGUAGAGAUCUGGAGGAAUACCGAUGGCGAAGGCAGCCUUCUGGCAUAAUACUGACACUGAGGCUCGAAAGCGUGGGUAGCAAACAGGAUUAGAUACCCUGGUAGUCCACGCCGUAAACGAUGUCUACUAGUCGUUGGGUCCCUUGAGGACUUAGUGACGCAGCUAACGCAAUAAGUAGACCGCCUGGGGAGUACGGCCGCAAGGUUAAAACUCAAAUGAAUUGACGGGGGCCCGCACAAGCGGUGGAGCAUGUGGUUUAAUUCGAUGCAACGCGAAGAACCUUACCUGGUCUUGACAUAUCUAGAAUCCUGCAGAGAUGCGGGAGUGCCUUCGGGAAUUAGAAUACAGGUGCUGCAUGGCUGUCGUCAGCUCGUGUCGUGAGAUGUUGGGUUAAGUCCCGCAACGAGCGCAACCCUUGUCCUUAGUUACCAGCGGGUUAAGCCGGGAACUCUAAGGAUACUGCCAGUGACAAACUGGAGGAAGGCGGGGACGACGUCAAGUCAUCAUGGCCCUUACGACCAGGGCUACACACGUGCUACAAUGGUAGGUACAGAGGGCAGCUACACAGCGAUGUGAUGCGAAUCUCAAAAAGCCUAUCGUAGUCCAGAUUGGAGUCUGCAACUCGACUCCAUGAAGUAGGAAUCGCUAGUAAUCGCGGAUCAGAAUGCCGCGGUGAAUACGUUCCCGGGCCUUGUACACACCGCCCGUCACACCAUGGGAGUUGAUUGCACCAGAAGUGGAUAGCUUAACCUUCGGGGAGGCGUUCACCACGGUGUGGUUGAUGACUGGGGUGAAGUCGUAACAAGGUAGCCGUAGGGGAACCUGCGGCUGG
This 1517-nucleotide ribosomal RNA is filed under the name Psychrobacter sp. KJF12-12. RNAcentral describes it as "bacterial SSU rRNA". It matches the Rfam family "Bacterial small subunit ribosomal RNA". The record is from RNAcentral. Lineage: Bacteria; Pseudomonadati; Pseudomonadota; Gammaproteobacteria; Moraxellales; Moraxellaceae.